Molecule: long non-coding RNA, 1042 nt
Organism: Cyprinus carpio (common carp)
Lineage: Eukaryota; Metazoa; Chordata; Actinopteri; Cypriniformes; Cyprinidae
Source: Ensembl
AUGGACAUCCAGAGGCCAGCCAGGAUAGCGGCCCAUGGUGGAGUCGACGGUGGGAGGAGCCAUGGUGGAGGAGGAGCCGACAACACCAGGGGGCCGACUGACGGAGACUCAGCCAACCAGCGGAGAAACAGGAGGAUCAGGGCUGGGCGGAACCAGGGGAGAAACAGGAGGAUCAGGGCUAGACAGAACCAGCGGAAGAGGAGCAGAGGAACUGACAGGUCUAGGAGGAGGCAGGAGAGGGAGGUUGGGAGGGAACACAGGAGGAUCAGGGCUGGACAGAACCAGCGGAGAAACAGGAGGAUCAGGAACUGCCUCCCCAAACCAGUCUAUAAGGUCCAAUAAUUCCUCUCUAUAAUUCCCAGAAACCAAAUGCAGCUCACCCUCAGUCGCAGGAGUGUGGGCAGGGCUUUCCUCCACGCCCUCAAUCUCCACCAAUCGUCCCACGACGCACGGUGUUGCCGGCUCACACACCUGGUCAGUCGCGCACUCGAGUUCCUGCUCCCUGUCGGUGAUAGGCUCGGGCUCUGCGGCUGCGGUGGGCUCUAGCUCCGUGCAGCGAGAUGGUGGCUGGCUGGUCUCUGGUUCCGGAGUGGGGCUGGAGAGAUCCUCUUCGGCGGUGCAGAUGGUAAAUAGGGAUCCAUUUUUCUCCAGCACCCACUCCACGAAAGUGGCGAAAUCCUCUCUGGGACCGUUCGCUGGGAGGCGUGCCUUACACCGCUCACUCAGGCCAGCAUAGUAGAAUGCACAGAGCGAGCGGUCAGGGAAGUCCAUAAGACACGCCAGAUCGAAAAAGGCCCUGGUAUGGUCCUCCAGCGAACGGUCCAGUUGCUCCAGGCACAGGAGUUGGACUGCUGGGAUAUCCAAUCCGAGAGGGGGGAAAACAAAAAAACACAAAAAGAAAAACGCAACUAAACUGUUUUGGUAAUGUAUUUUGAGCAGUGUAUUUAAAAAUGUAAUUUAUUCCUGUGAUCUGUUACAGGGGCUGGUGUGCUAGUAAAACGCUCGACGAAGGAAAUAAAUAAAAGGGUACUUUAAUGAUCCA